Molecule: ribosomal RNA, 372 nt
Filed under: uncultured organism
Description: partial 16S ribosomal RNA
Rfam family: Bacterial small subunit ribosomal RNA
Source: RNAcentral
AGAGGGUGCAAGCGUUAAUCGGAAUUAUUGGGCGUAAAGCGCGCGUAGGUGGAUAGAUAAGUUGGAUGUGAAAGUCCCGGGGCUUAACCUGGGAAGGUCAUUCAAAACUGUCUGUCUAGAGUAUGAUAGAGGGAAGUGGAAUUUCCGGUGUAGCGGUGAAAUGCGUAGAUAUCGGAAGGAACACCAGUGGCGAAGGCGACUUCCUGGAUCAUUACUGACACUGAGGCGCGAAAGCGUGGGGAGCGAACAGGAUUGGAUACCCUGGUAGUCCACGCCGUAAACGAUGAGAACUAGCCGUUGGGCGUCUUAGAACGCUCAGUGGCGCAGCUAACGCGAUAAGUUCUCCGCCUGGGGAGUACGGCCGCAAGGUUA